UGGAUAGCUCAGUUGGUUAGAGCGUGGUGCUGAUAACCCCAAGGUUGCAGGUUCGAUCCUGUAUUGGAAAA
This is a non-coding RNA of Podarcis lilfordi (Lilford's wall lizard), 71 nucleotides long. The record is from the annotation of a GenBank genome assembly. NCBI's taxonomy places the organism in Eukaryota, Metazoa, Chordata, Lepidosauria, Squamata, Lacertidae.